AUCUAAAACGCAACCAUCUCCCUGUCCUUCACCGAGAGCGGUGCUGGCCCCUUUUUUUCCUUCCAUAUUUGAAUAAAGCGAGUUAUCCUCAUUCAUCCGUUGUUAUGAUGUCAUAUUCAAGGAGAUCAAGGUAUUCUCCUUCUCCUUCUCCAUACAGGCGAUUCAGUAGGUCUGUGUCCAGGUCUCUCUCAAGGUCAAGAUCCCGAAGCCGGUCAAGGAGUCUAUCAAGAGACGCCGAAAAUCCUGGAAACAAUUUGUAUGUGACAGGAUUGUCUCCUAGGAUCACCAAGAGAGAACUAGAGAAGCAUUUUGCAACUGAGGGAAAAGUGAUAGAUGUACAUCUGGUAGUUGAUCCUUGGACAAGGGAAUCCCGUGGGUUUGGCUUUGUGACAAUGGAAACUGUUGGAGAGGCUGAUCGAUGUGUAAAGUAUCUGAAUCGCUCUGUACUUGAAGGACGUGUUAUCACUGUGGAGAAGCAGGUUAGCUGUGUGAAGCAGCUCUUCAGCAAACUCUCAAAUCACAACUAAACAAACAAAUCAAAUACAUCAACAAGUAUCAGAUCAUUGGGGUUGUAUGCCCUGCAUUUCUCUCCUUUUUUAUUGCAUUUUAAUCUUAUUUUAUGUUUCUUGAGUUUUAUGGUCCUGAAAGAUCCUUCUCUCACAAUUUGCAGUGUUUAGAUGUUUUUUUUGGGAUAUAUGUAAUGUUUUUAACUUUAUAUUGAUGUUAUUAUUGCUUGCCUACCUGUGCAUGACUAUACCUUUGUAUUCAUGCUGUUUUCUGCAUCUAUUGCAGGCUAAAAGACGACGUGGUCGAACCCCAACACCUGGACGGUAUCUUGGGCUGAGGACUAUUCGAGGUCGUCGCCGUACUCCAAGCCACUCUCCUCGUCGCUCUCCAAGCUAUUCUCCUUACAGAAGAAGCUAUAGUCGGUCACCAUAUUCUUCUGAUCGUAGCAGGAGUCGUUCUUUUUCUCCUGACUUCCGGCGGGGGAGGAGGUCUUACUCUCCAUACCACUACCGCCGGCGGCGGCGGUCUUACUCUCCAUACUAUAGCCGGCACAGGUCUUAUUAUCGAUAUGAUCGACAAAGGUCAUAUUCUCGAUCACCUGUCAGCAUACGGGACAGAUCAUACUCUCCCUAUGACUCAAGAUAUGACUCACCUGAUGAGCGCAGCUACAGAAGGCACCGGUAUAGGUCUGUUUCUCGAAGUGCCUCACCUGAUGAUCGCCACUAUGGAAGGCACCGUUACAGGUCUGUUUCUCGAAGUGCCUCACCUGAUGAUCGCCACUAUGGAAGGCACCGUUACCGGUCUGUUUCUCGAAGUGCCUCUCCUAGGCCAAAGAGAAGGUCAAGGAGGAGCUACUCAAGGAGUGCCUCUCCUGUUUCAAGGAGGGGCUACUCGCGAAGUGUGUCCCCCAGAUCAAGGAGGAGUACUCAUUCAAGAAGCUCCAAAAGAAGUGGCCGUAUUUCAAAACGCUACUCAAGAAGCCCGAGUGUGAGUGUGAGUGCAAGUUCAAGAUCAGUAUCGAGGUCUAAUACUCCAGGAUCUGCUUCUCCUUCAGCUUGAAAUUUGUUGGUCCUCGAUCGGCUUUAACAUCUUAGGCUUAUAGUGAAAACUGGUUUGGUGACACGUAGGUAUAUGUAGUUGUAGAUGGAGUUUUCUUCGUUAGUUCCGUUCAGGGCUUGUCUUGGGACCCCCGAAUGCUAUUUCUUGUAUCAUGGUUGCUGGAAAUACGUCACCGUCAGUGUAGAUGACCUGAUCUCGUAGUUUCUUUUGGUUUGGGUGCAUUUUUAUUUUACUUUGUUCUUUGUCCGCUUUUCUAGACUAUUAUCACUUUGACUUUCUUAAUGUUGAAAAU
Abrus precatorius (Indian licorice) is the source of this 1858-nucleotide RNA transcript. It is a transcript of the gene named serine/arginine-rich splicing factor SR45a-like, with no coding region annotated. The transcript has 7 exons. The record is from RefSeq and is a predicted model, not a curated record. Lineage: Eukaryota; Viridiplantae; Streptophyta; Magnoliopsida; Fabales; Fabaceae.